UGAUCUCUUUUUUUCCUCAUGACUUUGGGAGGUGAGUGCUAUAAUGAAUUACCUUUAUUUUACAGGUGAGGAAACCAAGGCAGAGGUUGUGACUUCCCCAGUAAAUGCUGCUCCUUGGCCUCUGUCUUUUCUUAUCAAGGCUGAAACUGCUCUGAUUUCAUUUAUUUUUUGGAAGAAGAGGAAUGGCCUUCUUAUUUCCUUUACUUUGUGGAAUUUCUAG
This 220-nucleotide long non-coding RNA is filed under the name Monodelphis domestica (gray short-tailed opossum). RNAcentral describes it as "lncRNA (ENSMODG00000031047.2)". Lineage: Eukaryota; Metazoa; Chordata; Mammalia; Didelphimorphia; Didelphidae. The record is from RNAcentral.